This 451-nucleotide ribosomal RNA is filed under the name uncultured bacterium. Its description in RNAcentral is "bacterial SSU rRNA". It matches the Rfam family "Bacterial small subunit ribosomal RNA", at positions 9 to 507 of the family's 1533-position model. The record is from RNAcentral.
CGAGUUUGAUCAUGGCUCAGAACGAACGCUGGCGGCAGGCCUAACACAUGCAAGUCGAGCGCCCCGCAAGGGGAGCGGCGGACGGGUGAGUAACGCGCGGGAACGUACCCUUUGCUACGGAAUAGCCUCGGGAAACUGGGAGUAAUACCGUAUGUGCCCUUCGGGGGAAAGAUUUAUCGGCAAAGGAUCGGCCCGCGUUGGAUUAGGUAGUUGGUGGGGUAAUGGCCUACCAAGCCGACGAUCCAUAGCUGGUUUGAGAGGAUGAUCAGCCACACUGGGACUGAGACACGGCCCAGACUCCUACGGGAGGCAGCAGUGGGGAAUCUUAGACAAUGGGCGCAAGCCUGAUCUAGCCAUGCCGCGUGAGCGAUGAAGGCCUUAGGGUUGUAAAGCUCUUUCAGUGGGGAAGAUAAUGACUGUACCCACAGAAGAAGCCCCGGCUAACUCCGUG